RNAcentral lists this ribosomal RNA (489 nucleotides) under uncultured bacterium. RNAcentral describes it as "partial 16S ribosomal RNA". It matches the Rfam family "Bacterial small subunit ribosomal RNA", at positions 28 to 507 of the family's 1533-position model. The record is from RNAcentral.
GAUGAACGCUAGCGGGAGGCCUAACACAUGCAAGCCGAGCGGGAUUUGUUGGUUAGCUUGCUAACUAACAAUGAGAGCGGCGUACGGGUGCGUAGCACGUGUGCAACCUGCCUUUAUCUGGGGGAUAGCCUUUCGAAAGGAAGAUUAAUACCCCAUAACAUAUUGAUUGGCAUCAGUUAAUAUUGAAAGCUCCGGCGGAUAGAGAUGGGCACGCGUAAGAUUAGCUAGUUGGUGAGGUAACGGCUCACCAAGGCUGCGAUCUUUAGGGGGCCUGAGAGGGUGAUCCCCCACACUGGUACUGAGACACGGACCAGACUCCUACGGGAGGCAGCAGUGAGGAAUAGUGGACAAUGGGUGAGAGCCUGAUCCAGCCAUCCCGCGUGAAGGACUAAGGACCUAUGGUUUGUAAACUUCUUUUAUACAGGGAUAAACCUACUCUCGUGAGGGUAGCUGAAGGUACUGUAUGAAUAAGCACCGGCUAACUCCGUG